AUUUCCGUAGGGUAACCUGCGGAGGGAUCAUUACUGAGUUACCGCUCAUCAACCCUUUGUGAACAUACCUUAACUGUUGCUUCGGCGGGUAGGCGUCCCCUAAAAAGGACGUCUCCCGGCCCUCUCCCGUCCGCGGGUGGGGCGCCCGCCGGAGGAUAACCAAACUCUGAUUUAACGACGUUUCUUCUGAGUGACACAAGCAAAUAAUCAAAACUUUUAACAACGGAUCUCUUGGUUCUGGCAUCGAUGAAGAACGCAGCGAAAUGCGAUAAGUAAUGUGAAUUGCAGAAUUCAGUGAAUCAUCGAAUCUUUGAACGCACAUUGCGCCCGCCAGCAUUCUGGCGGGCAUGCCUGUUCGAGCGUCAUUUCAACCCUCAAGCUCUGCUUGGUGUUGGGGCUCUACGGUUGACGUAGGCCCUUAAAGGUAGUGGCGGACCCUCUCGGAGCCUCCUUUGCGUAGUAACAUUUCGUCUCGCAUUGGGAUUCGGAGGGACUCUAGCCGUAAAACCCCCAAUUUUACUAAGGUUGACCUCGGAUCAGGUAGGAAUACCCGCUGAACUUAAGCAUAUCAAUAA
This is a ribosomal RNA of 575 nucleotides. The stretch from base 212 to 365 matches the Rfam family "5.8S ribosomal RNA".